UGACCUCAAAUCAGGCAAGAAUACCCGCUGAACUUAAGCAUAUCAAUAAGCGGAGGAAAAGAAACUAACAAGGAUUCCCCUAGUGACGGCGAGUGAAGAGGGAAGAGCUCAAAUUUUAAAUCCGCCUUGUUCGCAAGGCCGAGUUGUAAUUUGAAGAAGCGUUUUCUUGGGCUCGCUGCCGGUAGAAGUUCUUUGGAACAGGACAUCAUAGAGGGUGACAAUCCCGUCUGUGACCGGUCGCGCGGUUCAUCUACGAUACGCUUUCAAAGAGUCGAGUUGUUUGGGAUUGCAGCUCCAAACGGGUGGUAAACAUCACCUAAGGCUAUAUAUUGGCGAGAGACCGAUAGCGAACAAGUACCGUGAGGGAAAGAUGAAAAGAACUUUGAAAAGAGAGUUAAACAGUAUGUGAAAUUGUUGAAAGGGAAACGAUUGAAGUCAGUCGUGCUGGCGCGAAAUCAGCUCGACCACUAGGGGAUCACGGGCCGUAGCGAGUCUCAAAACCGUUACGACUUGUGAUUGCUUAGUGGCAUGGUGCACUUUCGUGUCGGCUGGUUAACAUCAAUUUCGACCGUCAUAAAAAGGCUGGAGGGAUGUGGCUCCUUCGGGAGUGUUAUAACCUUUGGCGGAAUGUAGUGGUCGGGAUUGAGGUUUGCAACGAAUACCUUCAGGGCUGUUCCACCUGGCCUCUCAUCGGCAUCCUGGCGACGACAGCUUGCUGACGUUGUUAGGAUCAGCCUUCGAACAGGCUAGAGUGUGAGCAAAUUCGUUAAGGAUGUUAACGUAAUGGCUUUAAACGACCCGUCUUGAAACACGGACCAAGGAG
RNAcentral lists this ribosomal RNA (823 nucleotides) under uncultured Entrophospora. Its description in RNAcentral is "eukaryotic LSU rRNA". It matches the Rfam family "Eukaryotic large subunit ribosomal RNA", at positions 1 to 673 of the family's 3401-position model. Lineage: Eukaryota; Fungi; Glomeromycota; Glomeromycetes; Entrophosporales; Entrophosporaceae. The record is from RNAcentral.